This 500-nucleotide ribosomal RNA is filed under the name uncultured bacterium. Its description in RNAcentral is "bacterial SSU rRNA". It matches the Rfam family "Bacterial small subunit ribosomal RNA", at positions 30 to 504 of the family's 1533-position model. The record is from RNAcentral.
CGAACGCUGGCGGCGUGCCUAACACAUGCAAGUCGAGCGCGAACCCACGCUUCGGCGUGGUAUUAGAGCGGCGAACGGGUGAGUAACACGUGAGUAACCUACCUCCGAGUCUGGGAUAACCACUCGAAAGGGUGGCUAAUACCGGAUAAGCUAGCAGUAUUUUUGGAUACAGCUAGAAAAAGUGGCCAAUCCAUGGAAGCUGCUGUUCGGAGAUGGGCUCGCGUCCCAUUAGCUAGUUGGUGAGGUAAGAGCUCACCAAGGCGACGAUGGGUAGCUGGUCUGAGAGGAUGAUCAGCCACACUGGAACUGAGACACGGUCCAGACUCCUACGGGAGGCAGCAGUGGGGAAUAUUGCGCAAUGGGCGAAAGCCUGACGCAGCAACACCGCGUGAGUGAUGAAGGCCUUCGGGUCGUAAAGCUCUGUUUCGGGGGAAGAUGGGUGUAGUGAUAAAUAGUUGCUACAUUUGACGGUACCCUGGCAGAAAGCACCGGCUAACUCC